Small nuclear RNA from Monosiga brevicollis MX1, 163 nucleotides. It matches the Rfam family "U1 spliceosomal RNA". Rfam says of the family: U1 is a small nuclear RNA (snRNA) component of the spliceosome (involved in pre-mRNA splicing). Its 5' end forms complementary base pairs with the 5' splice junction, thus defining the 5' donor site of an intron. There are significant differences in sequence and secondary structure between metazoan and yeast U1 snRNAs, the latter being much longer (568 nucleotides as compared to 164 nucleotides in human). The record is from Rfam. NCBI's taxonomy places the organism in Eukaryota, Choanoflagellata, Craspedida, Salpingoecidae.
AUACUUACCUGCAGGUGCAGUUCGGUGGAUCACGUAGCACUGACUGUCUCUCUGAGAGUUGCUUCAUUGCACGCGGAAGUUCAGCUUGACGGGAGUGCCGGGGCCUCGUGUCCCGCGCGACCUGGUCAUUUUUGGUUUGUGGACUGCGUUCGCGCAGUCCACG